Molecule: ribosomal RNA, 279 nt
Filed under: uncultured bacterium
Lineage: Bacteria
Description: partial 16S ribosomal RNA
Rfam family: Bacterial small subunit ribosomal RNA
Source: RNAcentral
UGCCAGCCGCCGCGGUAAUACGGAGGUCCCAAGCGUUUUUCGGAUUCACUGGGCGUAAAGGGUGCGUAGGUGGCUGAGAUAGUUUGAUGUGAAAGCUCCGGGCUCAACCCGGAAAAUGCAUUGAAUACUACUCAGCUAGAGGAUCGGAGGGGAAAGUGGAAUUCUUGGUGUAGCAGUGAAAUGCAUAGAUAUCAAGAGGAACAUCAGUGGUGAAGGCGACUUUCUGGACGAUUCCUGACACUGAGGCACGAAGGCUAGGGGAGCAAACAGGAUUAGAUA